RNAcentral lists this long non-coding RNA (1400 nucleotides) under Triticum aestivum (bread wheat). Its description in RNAcentral is "long non-coding RNA (TAES_LNC006085)". The record is from RNAcentral. Lineage: Eukaryota; Viridiplantae; Streptophyta; Magnoliopsida; Poales; Poaceae.
CAUGGUUGUCAUUGCAUAGCUCUAGAUUAAAUAAUAAGAAUAUAACCAAAAGAUUUAUGCAUUAGUGCAUGAACAAAUAGAAAAAAAUAAGCCUAUAAUAUCCCAUGCUAUAUGCACACCAAGUGAAGGCCAAACAGAAGAUCGCCAAUAAGAAAAAUAGAACUAUGUGAGUAUAAUUUUUCAGGAAACGAUAGAAUGGUGAGAUUCAUUGUGCAAUAAUGAUUAUAAGCUCGGGUAUGUAAAUUUGAACAAAUAGAAGAUUAAGAAAGGGAAACAUGCAACAAAAAAAGCUUUCGAAAAGCAGUAGUAUUUUUACCUCUGUAACAGAGGAAGUACAAAAAUGUAUUAGUUGGCAGCACUCCGGCUGGCGAAUUGCCUAGGAAAAAGGACCAGUAGGUAUAAUAAUGGUGUUACUUUCUUGCACAAGAACCAAAACUUUGCCAAAAAGUAAAAAAUAUUGGGCACAUUGCACCUUUAUUUUCCCUGUAAUCCUUACUUUUUCUUCUAGACUGUAUGAUGCCGGUGCAAGCUAGCCAGCAUCUUGAGAUUAGUCCAUCCAAAAAGCACACCAAAGGUAACAGUUGGAUUGAUUGUAUCAUCCCUGAAACACCAUUAUUACAAAUUCAGUUGCCGCUUAAUAGUAAAUAGAAGUGUACUGCUUGCUUAUCACGCUUACUUAGGACUCAUAGGCCUUAUCUAAUCCCUCUCCGGCCAAAGCAAACCAUCUAUCUAUGCGAAAUAGGCAAGAGGUAGGCAAAGAUGAUAUAUACCUAAGAGUAUAUGUCAAUCUAAACUAAAGUACUGCUCACAAGAAAGCGAGCAUGAUAACACAUCGUUGCUUGCUCUAAUAAUAAAUAAGUUGUUGGAAAGGAGGAGGCUAUUUUAUUUAUAAAGUUUAGUUUAGUGAUUUAGUACAAAUUAAUAAGGACAUGUCCAGACCUGACAGGCACAACAACCUCAAAUGCAUGGGGAUGGUUUGGUUAAAUUAGGAUGAGCAGAAAUGAAACACACCAUAUACAUUUUCCAUGCUUCAACAUAUAUCCAUGAAAAGCAGAGAACUAUUACACGUCCUCAUAUACUCACUAAAGAAGUAGAGAAUAGCAAUUGCUACUAAACUAUUUGUAUGCAUCCACAUACACUAAUUAGAAAAACAGAGUAAUGUGUGCAUGUUAUAUAAGUUAGUCGACUACCAAUCAUACGAACCUUUCUUUAGCAUGUUUGAGAAGAAUAACACGGCAGGAUCGACCAAAGCAAUCUUUCGCUUGAGUUGCUUAUCCUUGGUCGUUUCCAGAAUCCAGGUAAAAAAUAUGUACGUAUAUGGUGUUUCUCCAUAGAAAGGAUCUCCUCUGGCGCUGGGGGACAUUUGCAUUUAUCUACUGUCUCUCCUCAGAUAGUGCCUC